AGGGAAAUAGCAGCAAUGACUGAAAUCAGUCUAGACAAACAAAGCCCAGGGGCUUGACAAAAGACAUCUGCAUCUGCAGAGAGUGGAGCAAGCUGUCCUGCCCCUUCACCAGUGAAGUCCCUUCCCCAGGACCCUAUGGAGCUGUCUGAAAGGUUUUUUUGCUCUUCUUCCAGGCUGGGGACAAAGCUGGGUGCUGGUUCCUGAACUGCUCCACCAGCCCAGAGCAACCAGGAGACCUCAGAAAGGAGCUGUUGGUGAUGGAACAGGUGAUGAGGAGAUGUAUAUACACAGCAGAAGACCAGGCUCAACGCUAACCCAAGUGCAGAAAAGCCACAGGCUCCCAGAGAGCUCACCAUUUCCCUGGCUAGCAGUUGGCUUCCAGAGCUGAAGAGGUGGGAACUGAAGGCCGUGUAAGGCAUUCAUCACCUCCAGUACUCUCCCCAGUUACCAGAGCUCUUUCACAGCCAAGCAGUCAGCAAGAAACAUUUCAGCACUGAAGCUCACCUCUGCCUGACAAUAAGACUUUAGGUACUGAUAAUAAGGUGCAUCAGGAGAGACAGAAGAGGAAAGAAAAGACUUCUGCCUGCGUUCACAUUUGACUGUGUCCAGCAGCUAAACCAAAGUCCAGCUCUGCCCACAGCCAGACCAGUGUGUGCACCAUGGACAGACCCUGGCCCAGGACUGCCGAUCCUGGACCCCAUGAAUCAUCCUUUCCAACUACUGAACUACACAAAGUAUGGAUUUGCAUACAUAAGAACAUUUAAUGCGUCUACAGACACACAGAUUUACAGAGGGUCUUGGUGGCUCCUAUAAUUGGGCUCACUAUUCUAAGGCUAACUUGGUACUGUCACUCUCUGUGGUUGAAAAAUCAUGGGACAAGUAUGAAUUAUAAGUACAACUGGAUCAAAAAGGACAAAAAACAAAUAAGAAAGAAAGAAAAAAAAAUAACUAUCUGCUUCUUUGGGACACAGAUUCUGUUUUGCUUUGGGUUCAUAGGAUAAUACACCCACCCUACAGGAACACAGGCCUCAACCCUCCUCCUUGGCAGUCAGGGAUACCCCGGGCAUCACCUUGCCUACAGGAACCUCAGUUGAAGAAGGUGAUUUUGGACAUGGACAGAAGCACUUUCAAGGACAUGUUGCCACACAUCUCUUCAGGUCCCACCUCCAGUAACUGCCCAAGGCCCCACCAGCUGCCUCCCCUCACCCACCAGUGCUUUUAGCCUUCCCAGUCCACCUGCAGUGGGUCACAGACCUUCCCCUUCCCAUGCUGAAGGGGCUGUGAGCAGGACCAAAAAGCAGAGGAAUCACUCAAAUGUUCACACAUGGGGAAGGAGAGAAGGGUCCAAAGUCAGCCUUGGUCUCCUCAUAUCUUCUUGUCACUGCUUAUGUCAUGCCAGUGUCAUCUCCAGAGAUUAUGGGGGGAGAUUUCCAUAUCUCACUACAGUGCUGCUGUUGCAUGCAAGGUGGGAAGUAAAAAGGGUUCCCUCCAGACAGGGCAGCAAUUUGGGUGGGGAUUGCUUCUUCUGUCAUUGUAAAAGUGGCUCCAAAUACAGCUGGGAUUCGUAGAAAAAUAAUGUGUGUUUCUUCUAAUAUCUCUUCCCCUUUCCUCCCCUCCUCUCCUCUUCUUUCUUCUUCCAGGUGAGCAAAGCAUUUGCAGCAGAUGUGUUUCAUUAUGCAAAUUUUAAUAACAUAUUCAACAAGGCUACAGUAAAGCAAAUGGUACCUUUGCACAAAGUUUCUGCCUCACCUACAAAUGCCAAGCAGUGCUGAAGGCCUCCUGAGCAAACCGCUUCUUCCCCACCAUUACAUGUGGGUGCUUAUGGGGUAGUUUCAAACUUCCCAUUGCCCUCCCCAGAAGGAAAUAUCGCUCAGCCCAGCCUCUCCCAAACUUUUUGGUAGUGCAGAGGGAAUGUGACCAGCUCAACAAAUGUCCUGCCUCUCCUGGAUGCUCUGAGACUGCAGCAGUGACAUCCUGCCUGUGCCACAUGCAAUGGAGCUGGCCCCAUCCAGGCUGCUGCAUCUUUCUUACACCACGGGAAACACAUUGUGUCUACCCUUGGCUAAGAGACCACUUGGUCAAGGGCUUGAAAUAAAAAUAAAUUUUAAAAAUGUCUUUGUCCAGUGGAGCAAACACUGUGGAAGGAUUCGUGGUCAGCACCACCACCACAGGGCCUUCAACCACCUCUGGGCUGGGAGUCCCAGGGGUAAGGGGACAAGGCUCCCCACAACCUUGGCUGCAGAAGGCGGGAGGGACACUGGGGUCCCUCUGACCCUGUGUUUGUGUCCCUUGGUGUGCAGAGCUCAGCCCCACCACCUACAGCCACCUCCAUGGCCACCAGCAGUCUCCCACCCUGAAGGAGAAGGACCAGGCUGAGACCCAAAAUGGCACACUGCGCUCAGGGCUCGAGGCCUGCUCACGUACAGCAGCAGAUAGCCUCAUGCCAUGAAAUCCAGAGCGAUUCCAUGCAUUUGGCAGACAGAAUUUCUUGAAAGCGUGGCUCUAGAUAAUUAAAAGCAGCCUGGAGCCAUGUGGGUGUCUGCUCAUCACCAGUUCCUGGAAGAAUUGCCUUUGGAGGCACAUGCACGCACAUAUCCAUGGCUGCCCAGGUGUCUCCUUGCCCCACAGGUUGGAAACAAGAUAUUUGUCUGGGUAUCACACACUUUGAGGUGCAUAGGUCAGAGAGAGCUGUGCUCUGGAGUAACCUGCACCUGCUGAUAGGAGCAAGUUGGUCCAGACUCCUCCGCCAGGAGCUGGGACACUGAUGUGGGACUCUCCUUGCCUUGUCCUGAACCCAUGUUGGUACAAAGUAGGGGCCUCCCCUCAGCAGCUCCCAGUCGGUCACAGAAAGAGUUCAGGGGUGGGGAAAAGCUCCCUUUUCAGCCCCAGAUUGGUUACAACCAAUAUCAAAUUCAAGGC
Anas platyrhynchos (mallard) is the source of this 2919-nucleotide non-coding RNA. Lineage: Eukaryota; Metazoa; Chordata; Aves; Anseriformes; Anatidae. The record is from RefSeq and is a predicted model, not a curated record.